Salmo salar (Atlantic salmon) is the source of this 871-nucleotide non-coding RNA. The record is from RefSeq and is a predicted model, not a curated record. NCBI's taxonomy places the organism in Eukaryota, Metazoa, Chordata, Actinopteri, Salmoniformes, Salmonidae.
AUUACUGUCACAUUAGAGGAGGACGAAGAAGAGAAGACUGGAGAUCUGAUUAACACCAGUAAAUACAGUGAAUACUAUCUAAUAAAACAGGGACAUUGAUCUGAUAAACACCAGAAAAUACAGAGAGAGACGUGACUACCGUGGAUCCUCUGGGGAGCCACAACAACCUCAUGAUGCUGACAGGGCAGAGAAGAAUCUCUCCACAUCAGAACACCUCAAGAAACGCCAGCGGAGAACCACAGGGAUAAGAUCUCACCGCUGCUUUGACUGUGGGAAAAGAUGCACCUCAUCAGGCAUUAAACUACACCGGAGAAUUCACAUAAGUGAUAAUUUUCACUGCUGCUCUGAUUGUGGGAAAUUUUUUAAAUCUUCAUCAGAACUCAAAAUACACCUGAGAAAUCACACAAAAGAGAAACCUUACUUCUGCUCUGACUGUGGGAAGAGUUUUCCUCUGUCAACCAGCCUGAUAUCACACCAGAGAACACACACAAGAGAGAGAACUUACAGUUGUGAUCAAUGUGGGAGGAGUUUUCCUAUUUUAAUCGCCCUGAUAUCACACCAGAGAACACACACAGGAAAGAAACAAUGUAGCUGUGAUGAAUGUGGGAAGAGUUUUGCUUCACCUGGCGGCCUGACAGCACACCAGAGAACACACACAGGAGAGAAAUCUUUUGGUUGUAAUCAAUGUGGGAAGAGUUUUACUCUGCUAAGCAGCCUGAUAUACCACCAGAAAACACACACAGGAGAGAAACCUUAUAGCUGUGCUCAAUGUGGGAAGAGUUUUACUUGGUCUAGCAUGCUGACUAGACACGAAAGAACACACACAGGAGAGAAAUCUUAUAGCUGUAAUCAAUGUGGGAAGAGAUACUCU